This 231-nucleotide ribosomal RNA is filed under the name uncultured Staphylococcus sp. RNAcentral describes it as "partial 16S ribosomal RNA". It matches the Rfam family "Bacterial small subunit ribosomal RNA", at positions 109 to 334 of the family's 1533-position model. The record is from RNAcentral. Lineage: Bacteria; Bacillati; Bacillota; Bacilli; Caryophanales; Staphylococcaceae.
AGUAACACGUGGAUAACCUACCUAUAAGACUGGGAUAACUUCGGGGAACCGGAGCUAAUACCGGAUGAUAUUUUGAACCGCAUGGUUCAAAAGUGAAAGACGGUCUUGCUGUCACUUAUAGAUGGAUCCGCGCUGCAUUAGCUAGUUGGUAAGGUAACGGCUUACCAAGGCAACGAUGCAUAGCCGACCUGAGAGGGUGAUCGGCCACACUGGAACUGAGACACGGUCCAG